GAUGAACGCUGGCGGCGUGCCUAAUACAUGCAAGUCGAGCGAACGGACGAGAAGCUUGCUUCUCUGAUGUUAGCGGCGGACGGGUGAGUAACACGUGGAUAACCUACCUAUAAGACUGGGAUAACUUCGGGAAACCGUAGCUAAUACUGGAUAAUAUUUUGAACCGCAUGGUUCAAAAGUGAAAGACGGUCUUGCUGUCACUUAUAGAUGGAUCCGCGCUGCAUUAGCUAGUUGGUAAGGUAACGGCUUACCAAGGCAACGAUGCAUAGCCGACCUGAGAGGGUGAUCGGCCACACUGGAACUGGGACACGGUCCAGACUCCUACGGGAGGCAGCAGUAGGGAAUCUUCCGCAAUGGGCGAAAGCCUGACGGAGCAACGCCGCGUGAGUGAUGAAGGUCUUCGGAUCGUAAAACUCUGUUAUUAGGGAAGAACAUAUGUGUAAGUAACUGUGCACAUCUUGACGGUACCUAAUCAGAAAGCCACGGCUAACUACGUG
This 497-nucleotide ribosomal RNA is filed under the name uncultured bacterium. RNAcentral describes it as "partial 16S ribosomal RNA". It matches the Rfam family "Bacterial small subunit ribosomal RNA", at positions 28 to 507 of the family's 1533-position model. The record is from RNAcentral.